Molecule: ribosomal RNA, 425 nt
Filed under: uncultured bacterium
Lineage: Bacteria
Description: bacterial SSU rRNA
Rfam family: Bacterial small subunit ribosomal RNA
Source: RNAcentral
GGGGAAUAUUGCGCAAUGGGCGAAAGCCUGACGCAGCGACGCCGCGUGAGGGAUGAAGGUUUCCGGAUCGUAAACCUCUGUCAGAAGGGAAGAAACUACGCUGUGCUAAUCAGCAGUGUACUGACGGUACCUUCAAAGGAAGCACCGGCUAACUCCGUGCCAACAGCCGCGGUAAUACGGAGGGUGCAAGCGUUAAUCGGAAUUACUGGGCGUAAAGCGCACGUAGGCUGUAGUGUAAGUCAGGGGUGAAAUCCCACGGCUCAACCGUGGAACUGCCUUUGAUACUGCACAACUUGAAUCCGGGAGAGGGUGGCGGAAUUCCAGGUGUAGGAGUGAAAUCCGUAGAUAUCUGGAGGAACAUCAGUGGCGAAGGCGGCCACCUGGACCGGUAUUGACGCUGAGGGGCGAAAGCGUGGGGAGCAAAC